UGCAAAGAAAGGGGAGAGUGAGCCCCCGGCGACCCUCCGCCCACAGCUGCCCGCCACACUGAACAAGACGCACGAGUGACCGGGAUUUGGCCCCCGGGCCAAAAUGGCCCAAUCCAUGCAUUCAUUUUAGUAAAUAGGUGUGUGUGGUCUCGGUGCUCAUCUCCUUGCACUGACCCCUGAGCCUGUGGUGGAUGGGAGCCCGUCACCCUGGGCCAGUGUGACAUCCAGGGUACUACAGGUUACCUUCCCCAGGUUUCCCACGCGGUGCAGUGGCUACCAUCCCUAGCUACACAUCUGCCGGCCUAGGUGCUGCCCAUCCAGCUGUUUGUCAAAUGGGUACCUCAGGAAAACUGGGAAAGGUAAACUGGUAAUGUAGGUGUUGGUCCUGUGUCCUGGGGCGAUGGGUUUUCCUGCCACAGGCACAGAGACCACACACACAUAACAUGUGCCACAAAUUUUACCUUUAAACAUUCCAUCAGGCUAAAGUUAUCUGCUGCCUCUGUACUCCAUCCAGUCUCACUCUUAGAGAUUUUUGUAAAACAUUCCUUGUCACGGUGCAGUACUCUAUAAAUAUUUAUACAGAGCCUCAAUAAACUCCCUGCAGCAGACA
Molecule: long non-coding RNA, 610 nt
Organism: Eriocheir sinensis (Chinese mitten crab)
Lineage: Eukaryota; Metazoa; Arthropoda; Malacostraca; Decapoda; Varunidae
Exons: 2
Source: RefSeq, a predicted model, not a curated record